RNAcentral lists this long non-coding RNA (1481 nucleotides) under Equus caballus (horse). RNAcentral describes it as "lncRNA (ENSECAG00000028128.3)". Lineage: Eukaryota; Metazoa; Chordata; Mammalia; Perissodactyla; Equidae. The record is from RNAcentral.
AAUUUAUUAACCUCUGCGGUAAAAGCAGGAGAGAGAACACUCAACGCUAUUUUCCCAUGAAAAGGGUGGUUAGGGGAAGGGGUGUUUAUGGAUGCAGUGGGAUGGGGGGAAGGAGAGGGGGUUAAAGAAGCAGAGUGCAUUUCCCCCAACAUGCAUCUAAGUUUUUAAGGAUUAAAGAGGUAUCCGUAAUCCACACAGGACAUCCCUUUUCCCUUCUGCACUUUCCUCUCCCCGUUUUCACUGAUACUUCUCCCAGAAGUCACAGUCCUUGCCUCUAAAAGACCCUACUCUCUAUUGGAGAGAAAAACAGAAAGUAAAUAAAUAAAUAGAAAAGGCAGCAGGUAAUUUAGGGACCAUGUUGAUGACCAUGUUGAUGAGUUCGGAGAAAGGGAGGUCAGGAAAGGCUUCUGGAAGGAACUUCAAGGCCAUUGCAGAUCCUGCUCCUGUGAUACGAAAUAGGUUGUGUCUCACUCUCCAUGAGGCUGAGGGGGAUUCCCUUCCUCUCACUGCCCCAGCGGGCUACUUUCUCUUCCCAUCUCCCAAGAUGGGAGAUCCUUCUGCAGCUAUGCCUGUCAUUUCACUGGAAUAGCUCAGCUUCCCACUUUACCUGGAACCUUCCUGCGGGCUGGCAGGGCUUGCAGAGACUCAGCAGUAUGCUGAAGAGUGCGUGUAAUUUCCUCUCAAGGGAAAAGGAGGGAGGAGGGGCGCAGAAAGCCACACUCCUCCCUGGGCUUAGGCGCUGAGAAAGGGGGAGCAGGAGGGAAGAAGAGUCCAUGAAUGCUGCUAAUAACCACAAUAGUAACAUUUACACAGCACUUACUGUGCAGGGAGCUGUUCAAAGCAAUUUACAAGGGCUAUUAACCCAGGUGGAGCCUGACUCCCCUGCCCUUGAGUGUGGGCUGAACGGAGUGGCUCCCUUCUAAUGAGAGAAUUCGGCGGAAGUGAUGGUUUGUGACUUCCAAGACCAGGUCAUAAAAGACAUUGCACUUCCUCCUUGUCCUCCCUGGUGAACUGUGGAUUGCUCGCUCUGGGGGAAGCUGGCUGCUAUGUCAUAAGAUCACUCAAACAGCCCUAUGGAGAGGACCUCAUGGCAAGGAACUGUGGAGUCCUGCCAUCCAUCAACAAAGCACUGGGGCCCUCCGGCAAGUAACCACUGAGUGAGCCAAAUCGGGAGUGAAUCUUCCGGCCCCAGUCAAUCCUCAAAAUGAUUACAGCCCCAGUUGACAUCUUGACGCCUCCUCACGAGAAACCCUGAGCCGGAGCCAUCCUCCUAAACUGCUUCCACAUUCCUGACCCUCAGAAACUGUGAGAUAAUAAAUGUUCAUUGUUUUACGCUGAUUAAUUGUGGAGUAGUUUGUUAUGUAGCAAUAAAUAACUAAUACAGCCAUCUUCACCCCUACCCCACCCCCAGGGCCCCCCACGUUGACUUGGAGCUGGGAAUCUGCCAGGGCUGCAAUAGAAAAGUGUUCUGACGUCCCAAG